GUCUCUUUCUUAAUUGUUGAAUUUAACUUUUAAGUGAAAAGGCUUAAAUUUUUUAAAGGGACGAUAAGACCCUAUAAAGUUUAUAUAAAAAAAUAGAGUUUAAAAAAAUUAAACUUAUAAAUAUAAAAACUAUUUUUAUAUUUUGUUGGGGCGACACAGAUAUAAUUUUAUUUAACUGUUAUAACAAGAGACACGUAUAAGUGAGUGUAAUAAUGAUCCUAUAAAUAUAGAUUAAAAGACUAAGUUACUUUAGGGAUAACAGCAUAAUUUUUCUUAAGAGUCCUUAUCGAAAGAAAAGAUUGUGACCUCGAUGUUGAAUUAAAAGUCUUUGCAAAGCAGCAUUUGCAGGAAGAAGGUCUGUUCGACCUUUAAAGUUUUACAUGAUUUGAGUUCAAACCGGUGCAAGCCAGGUU
Molecule: ribosomal RNA, 413 nt
Filed under: Pisa carinimana
Lineage: Eukaryota; Metazoa; Arthropoda; Malacostraca; Decapoda; Epialtidae
Description: partial large subunit ribosomal RNA
Rfam family: Bacterial large subunit ribosomal RNA (bases 255-413)
Source: RNAcentral